GUGUCAGCAGCCGCGGUAAUACGAAGGGUGCUAGCGUUGUUCGGAAUUACUGGGCGUAAAGCGCGCGUAGGCGGCUUAGCAAGUCAGAGGUGAAAGCCCGGAGCUCAACUCCGGAAUUGCCUUUGAAACUGCUAAGCUAGAGUGUCGGAGGGGAUAGCGGAAUUCCUAAUGUAGAGGUGAAAUUCGUAGAUAUUAGGAGGAACACCGGUGGCGAAGGCGGCUAUCUGGACGACAACUGACGCUGAGGCGCGAAAGCGUGGGGAUCAAACAGGAUUAGAAACCCUCGUAGUCC
This 292-nucleotide ribosomal RNA is filed under the name uncultured bacterium. RNAcentral describes it as "partial 16S ribosomal RNA". It matches the Rfam family "Bacterial small subunit ribosomal RNA", at positions 505 to 796 of the family's 1533-position model. The record is from RNAcentral.